This is a long non-coding RNA of Polypterus senegalus (gray bichir), 401 nucleotides long. RefSeq lists it as uncharacterized. The record is from RefSeq and is a predicted model, not a curated record. NCBI's taxonomy places the organism in Eukaryota, Metazoa, Chordata, Cladistia, Polypteriformes, Polypteridae. The transcript has 3 exons.
CCAGGAUCUGCUUUGAAGACUACAAGGGGAGCUCCUCACUUUUAAGGCCUUGGGCAGCAGUCUUUGCAGGUUCAACAGUUCUUAUCCUCUCUAAGCUAUCCCACCGGCCAUGGCUUUCAUACGUCAGUUCCGACUUCUUUUGUGGAAGAAUUACAUCCAGCAGAAGAGGCAGAUUUUUGUGACAAUUAUCGAGAUUGCGCUCCCUCUGCUGUUUUCUGCCAUUUUAAUUGCCCUGAGACAGCGUGUUACUUCAGAAGCUUUCCCAAAUGCCACAACUUAUGACAAGUUUUCAGUGAAACAGCUUCCCCUAUCGGGUUCUUUUGAACUUGCCUACAUUCCAGGAAAUGUCAGUGUCGUUCAGCGCCUUGCCAUCUCAGUGGGAAAAUCACUCACGCCUGAUC